Molecule: ribosomal RNA, 427 nt
Filed under: uncultured bacterium
Lineage: Bacteria
Description: bacterial SSU rRNA
Rfam family: Bacterial small subunit ribosomal RNA
Source: RNAcentral
UGGGGAAUCUUGCGCAAUGGGCGAAAGCCUGACGCAGCAACGCCGCGUGUGUGAUGAAGGUUUUCGGAUCGUAAAGCACUGUCGGGAGGGACGAAUAAGGCUACGGCUAACAUCCGUAGCUGAUGACGGUACCUCCAAAGGAAGCACCGGCUAACUCUGUGCCAGCAGCCGCGGUAAUACAGAGGGUGCAAGCGUUGUUCGGAAUUAUUGGGCGUAAAGCGCGUGUAGGCGGCCAAGCAAGUCAGGUGUGAAAGCCCUCAGCUUAACUGAGGAAGUGCGCCUGAAACUACGUGGCUUGAGUACCGGAGAGGGUGGCGGAAUUCCCGGUGUAGAGGUGAAAUUCGUAGAUAUCGGGAGGAACACCAGUGGCGAAGGCGGCCACCUGGACGGAUACUGACGCUGAGACGCGAAAGCGUGGGGAGCAAAC